Molecule: transfer RNA, 76 nt
Filed under: Marmota marmota marmota (Alpine marmot)
Lineage: Eukaryota; Metazoa; Chordata; Mammalia; Rodentia; Sciuridae
Also listed under: 1 other name
Rfam family: tRNA
About the family: Transfer RNA (tRNA) molecules are approximately 80 nucleotides in length. Their secondary structure includes four short double-helical elements and three loops (D, anti-codon, and T loops).
Source: Rfam by way of RNAcentral
GGGGGUAUGGCUCAGUGGUAGAGCACUUGCCUGGCUUGCACAAAGAAGGACCUAGGUUUCAUCCCCAGUACCCCCC